UCCUGGCUCAGGAUGAACGCUGGCGGCGUGCCUAAUACAUGCAAGUCGAACGGGGGCAGUAGCGAUACUGUCCUAGUGGCGAACGGGUGAGUAACGCGUUGGUGACCUGCCCCAGAGAGGGGGAUAACAGACCGAAAGGUCUGCUAAUACCGCAUAAGUUCUCAGCAGUUAGAGGGGUUGAGAAGAAAGCCGAAAGGCGCUCUGGGAGGGGCCUGCGUCCCAUCAGCUAGUUGGUAGGGUAACGGCCUACCAAGGCGAAGACGGGUAGGGGACCUGAGAGGGUGGCCCCCCACAAUGGAACUGAAACACGGUCCAUACACCUACGGGUGGCAGCAGUAGGGGAUAUUGGUAAAUGGGCGAAAGCCUGACCCAGCAACGCCGCGUGCGCGAAGAAGGCCUUCGGGUUGUAAAGCGCUUUUCUGAGGGAUGAGGAAGGACAGUACCUGAGGAAUAAGUCUCGGCUAACUACGUGCCAGCAGCCGCGGUAAGACGUAGGAGACGAGCGUUAUCCGGAUUUACUGGGCGUAAAGCGCGUGCAGGCGGCUCGUUAAGUUGGAUGUGAAAGCCCCUGGCUAAACUAGGGGAGGUCGUUCAAGACUGGCGGGCUAGAGUGCAGCAGAGGAGAGUGGAAUUCCGAGUGUAGCGGUAAAAUGCACAGAUAUUCGGAAGAACACCAGAGGCGAAGGCGGCUCUCUGGGCUGCAACUGACGCUCAGACGCGAAAGCUAGGGGAGCGAACGGGAUUAGAGACCCCGGUAGUCCUAGCCGUAAACGAUGUGGACUUGGCGUGGGUAGGGUAAAGCCUGUCCGUGCCGAAGCAAACGCGAUAAGUCCACCGCCUGGGGACUACGGCCGCAAGG
This 859-nucleotide ribosomal RNA is filed under the name uncultured bacterium. Its description in RNAcentral is "bacterial SSU rRNA". It matches the Rfam family "Bacterial small subunit ribosomal RNA", at positions 17 to 893 of the family's 1533-position model. The record is from RNAcentral.